GUGAUUAAAUCGAGCGUGUCUUCAUUGACCGCUCACCCUUCUCACCAUCCACAUACACCUGUGCACUGUUUAGCCUGAGGCCGGUUUUCCGGUCCAGGUUAUCAUUUUCAUACAAACUCUAGUCUUAUGAAUGUAAACGUUUUAAUAACAUAAUA
Molecule: unclassified non-coding RNA, 155 nt
Filed under: soil metagenome
Description: partial internal transcribed spacer 1
Source: RNAcentral